This 218-nucleotide unclassified non-coding RNA is filed under the name uncultured fungus. RNAcentral's name for it is "partial contains 18S rRNA, ITS1, 5.8S rRNA, ITS2 and 28S rRNA". The record is from RNAcentral. Lineage: Eukaryota; Fungi.
AGGGAUCAUUAACACAUCCAAACCAAAAACUAUCAAACCAACCUGUGAACUUAUUACUAUUUUAUUUUUACCCCAUGACACUUUUGACUAAUACAUUGAGGUGCGACGAGCCGAGCCGGAGCGAAGGUCCUCGUGACCCGAGCGAACCGCUCACGCUUUCCACUUUACAAGAUAAUACAAAUUAAGAACAACUCUUAGCAAUGGAUAUCUUGGUUCUC